This 548-nucleotide ribosomal RNA is filed under the name uncultured Glomeromycotina. RNAcentral's name for it is "SSU rRNA". It matches the Rfam family "Eukaryotic small subunit ribosomal RNA", at positions 548 to 1098 of the family's 1831-position model. Lineage: Eukaryota; Fungi; Glomeromycota. The record is from RNAcentral.
UUGGAGGGCAAGUCUGGUGCCAGCAGCCGCGGUAAUUCCAGCUCCAAUAGCGUAUAUUAAAGUUGUUGCAGUUAAAAAGCUCGUAGUUGAAUUUCGGGAUCAGAUUGUCGGUCGUGCCUCGGUACGCACUGGUAAUAUUGGUUCCUACCUUCUGAAGAACCUCGAUGUCAUUAAUUUGGUGUCGUGGGGAAUCAGGACUGUUACUUUGAAAAAAUUAGAGUGUUUAAAGCGGGCUUACGCUUGAAUACAUUAGCAUGGAAUAAUGAAAUAGGACGUUUGAUUCUAUUUUGUUGGUUUCUAGGAUUGACGUAAUGAUUAAUAGGGAUAGUUGGGGGCAUUAGUAUUCAAUUGUCAGAGGUGAAAUUCUUGGAUUUAUUGAAGACUAACUACUGCGAAAGCAUUUGCCAAGGAUGUUUUCAUUAAUCAAGAACGAAAGUUAGGGGAUCGAAGACGAUCAGAUACCGUCGUAGUCUUAACCAUAAACUAUGCCGACUAGGGAUCGGAUGAUGUUAAUUUUUUAAUGACUCAUUCGGCGCCUUACGGGAAAC